RNAcentral lists this ribosomal RNA (1053 nucleotides) under Theridiinae sp. 101A. Its description in RNAcentral is "SSU rRNA". It matches the Rfam family "Eukaryotic small subunit ribosomal RNA", at positions 690 to 1773 of the family's 1831-position model. Lineage: Eukaryota; Metazoa; Arthropoda; Arachnida; Araneae; Theridiidae. The record is from RNAcentral. RNAcentral also lists the same sequence under 1 other name.
UACUGCCUGGACUGAACAAUUCAGUCGAAUUUGCGCGAUGAUCUUAAACGGUUGUCGUGCGAGCUCGGCAAGUUUACUUUGAAAAAAUUAGAGUGCUCAAAGCAUGCGUGACGCAUGAAUAAUGGUGCAUGGAAUAAUGGAAUAGGACCUCGGUUCUAUUUUGUUGGUUUUCGGAACACGAGGUAAUGAUUAAGAGGGACAGACGGGGGCAUUCGUAUUGCGACGCUAGAGGUGAAAUUCUUGGACCGUCGCAAGACGAACUACUGCGAAAGCAUUUGCCAAGAAUGUUUCCAUUAAUCAAGAACGAAAGUUAGAGGUUCGAAGGCGAUCAGAUACCGCCCUAGUUCUAACCAUAAACGAUGCCAGCCAGCGAUCCGGCUGUGUUCCUCAAAUGACACGCCGGGCAGCUUCCGGGAAACCAAAGCUUUUGGGUUCCGGGGGAAGUAUGGUUGCAAAGCUGAAACUUAAAGGAAUUGACGGAAGGGCACUACCAGGAAUGGAGCCUGCGGCUUAAUUUGACUCAACACGGGAAAGCUUACCUGGAUAGGACACAGGAAGGAUUGACAGAUUAAGAGCUCUUUCUUGAUUCUGUGGAAGGUGGUGCAUGGCCAUUCUUAGUUGGUGGAGCGAUUUGUCUGGUUAAUUCCGAUAACGAUCGAGACUCUAGCCUACUAAAUAGACGUUCCGAUCAAUAUGUCGGACGCUCUUCUUAGAGGGACACGCGGCGUUUAGCCGCACGAGACAGAGCAAUAGUAGGUCUGUGAUGCCCUUAGAUGUCCAGGGCCGCACGCGCGCUACAAUGAAGGAAUCAGCGUGUGCUUCCCCUGUCCGACAGGACUGGGUAACCCGUUGAACCUCCUUCGUGCUUGGGAUAGGAGAUUGUAAUUCACUCCUUGAACGAGGAAUUCCCAGUAAGCGCGAGUCAUCAGCUCGUGUUGAUUACGUCCCUGCCCUUUGUGCACACCGCCCGUCGCAACAUCCGAUGGAAUGAUUUAGUGAGGUCCUCGGACUGGCGCUCGGAUUGACCUUMGGGUCGAGCCGGMGYGCCGGAAA